Molecule: transfer RNA, 98 nt
Filed under: Galerina marginata CBS 339.88
Lineage: Eukaryota; Fungi; Basidiomycota; Agaricomycetes; Agaricales; Galerinaceae
Rfam family: tRNA
About the family: Transfer RNA (tRNA) molecules are approximately 80 nucleotides in length. Their secondary structure includes four short double-helical elements and three loops (D, anti-codon, and T loops). Further hydrogen bonds mediate the characteristic L-shaped molecular structure. tRNAs have two regions of fundamental functional importance: the anti-codon, which is responsible for specific mRNA codon recognition, and the 3' end, to which the tRNAs corresponding amino acid is attached (by aminoacyl-tRNA synthetases). tRNAs cope with the degeneracy of the genetic code in two manners: having more than one tRNA (with a specific anti-codon) for a particular amino acid; and 'wobble' base-pairing, i.e. permitting non-standard base-pairing at the 3rd anti-codon position.
Source: Rfam by way of RNAcentral
GCCCGCUUAGCUCAGUGGUAGAGCGCGCCACUCGUAUCGCGUUUCAUCGGUUACUAUAUGCAAUGGUGAGGUCGGUUGUUCAAACCAGCCAGCGGGCA